RNAcentral lists this small nuclear RNA (145 nucleotides) under Numida meleagris (helmeted guineafowl). Its description in RNAcentral is "U2 spliceosomal RNA (ENSNMEG00000020162.1)". It matches the Rfam family "U2 spliceosomal RNA". Rfam says of the family: U2 is a small nuclear RNA (snRNA) component of the spliceosome (involved in pre-mRNA splicing). Complementary binding between U2 snRNA (in an area lying towards the 5' end but 3' to hairpin I) and the branchpoint sequence (BPS) of the intron results the bulging out of an unpaired adenosine, on the BPS, which initiates a nucleophilic attack at the intronic 5' splice site, thus starting the first of two transesterification reactions that mediate splicing. The record is from RNAcentral. Lineage: Eukaryota; Metazoa; Chordata; Aves; Galliformes; Numididae.
CUCACUUCUUGGCGUUUUGGCUAAGAUCAAGUGUAGUAUCUGUUCUUAUCAGUUUAUUACACUUGAUCUUAUUUUUUUUCCCCCUCUACUCGGCUCUCGUGAGGCCCCAUCUGGAGUACUGUGUCCAGGACUGGGGCCCCCAGCA